This 727-nucleotide long non-coding RNA is filed under the name Lynx canadensis (Canada lynx). RNAcentral's name for it is "lncRNA (ENSLCNG00005021310.1)". Lineage: Eukaryota; Metazoa; Chordata; Mammalia; Carnivora; Felidae. The record is from RNAcentral.
AUCACGGAGAUAAUGAUGGUCUAUUAUGGGACCUGACAGCAAACAAUACAGGCUGAAGAAAAAAAAAAUUAUUUAGAGUUGGGAAGCCUUUUUUUUUCUUUUUAAGUUUAUUUAUUUUAGAGAGCGAGUGAGCGAGGGGUAGAGAGAAGGAGAGAGGGAGGGAGAGAGAAUCCCAUGCGGGCUCUGCACUGUCAGCCUGAAGUGGGCUGGAGCUCACCCGAAGCGGGGCUCAAACUCUCAAACUAUGAGGGCACAACCUGAGCUGAAGUUGGUCGCUUAACCGACUCAGCCACCCAGAUGCCCGGAGAACUCUGAUUCUUUGAGGCUGCACUUAUCUUGUGUCUCUGGAACAGAAGUUUCAGGCCCUUGAGUGGUUCACUGGAGUCUCUGUUGUCAUCUGGCACUGGUAGCGUCUCCUUCUGGGUCUCUGGUGCAGACGCCUUCUUUACCAUGGUGGAUCUAAGAAUAAGCUCAGAAGAAAGUCCUAUGUUUUCAGGUUAAGGGAGGAUAUUUGAAAAUGCUUUCCAUUUCUGGAGGUUAUAGCCCAACGGCCUCUCCUUCAGAAUAGAAUUCAUCCCUCCCAUAUUCUGGGAUUCUUUCUUAGGGUUUCCUCUUACCCUCCACAAAGUAAUUUAUAAUGGUUAGUGGUGACACAAAUGCCAUGCAACCUCACCCACAAUAUGUAUGAGACUCGGUUGACUUAAAACCAGGCUCACAAGGAGAGAAA